RNAcentral lists this long non-coding RNA (1206 nucleotides) under Meriones unguiculatus (Mongolian gerbil). RNAcentral describes it as "lncRNA (ENSMUGG00000008085.1)". The record is from RNAcentral. Lineage: Eukaryota; Metazoa; Chordata; Mammalia; Rodentia; Muridae.
CUCCCUCCCAGACCACAGACCAGACAAGCAGAUCAUCUGCAGCAAGGAAGGGACCCCGAAUGAAUGGUUCCCAGGGUUCCAUUGCUGCACUGAUAAGAGGUCUCUACUCCAAAUACAGCCCCUGCCCUGACCCUGGCUUAGCACCGCUUAGGAACAUGAGGUGUUCUGCCCCCUACUUUUGGAGGAGACAUCCUGGGCUAUGGUCUUCAUGGCUUGCUCUCAGCUCCUCUGAGAUCUGUGCCAGGCCAAGCCUUUGUGAGCCCAGCCUUGAGUUCCAUGUCCUCCCCAAACUUGGCAGACGGUGCUGCGUCAGCCCAAGGGCUCAGGAGAAUUUGCAAUUAUUGGAUUUGGUCACACAGAGAGUCUGGUAUUUGCAGGCCACAGAGACACACGCCUGUGGCCCUUCCUUGCCGCCUAGAGACUUCGAGCAACCAGAAAGUCGAGCGGGAGUCUGAAGAGCAGCAACACGUGGCACCGGUUGGUGGCCCUGCCGACGGCAUGACGAUCUACAGUCCUCAGGGCCUACCUUAGGGCUUCUUGCUUUUGGAGAAGCAGACCAAAGGAAUGAGACCUAACUUUGAAAAGACUGAAUGAACCAAGCCUUAGGGCAGUUACGAACAAGCCAUACAGUGGAGAAAGCGUCAAAGAUGAUUUAACGUAAAGAGCCAGGAUGGCACUGAUUGGCAGGGCGGAAUUAGUCCAUGGAAAGGUGACUUCUGCAGGUUCUCCUGAGUCUCCCAAAUGAUCAAGUACUAACAAGAACCAGAAAGCCAGCCCAGCAGCCGCGUCUCUGGUUUCUGCCUGAGGAGCUGCCGUCUACCUUGCUGACACGGCUUCCCUCUCAUCCGGAUGAUGAAUCACCUCUUCUGGGAAGAGUCGAGGACCCCUGCCUCCCGCCCUGCCCGCACCAGCUGUGUGGUGUGGCGUGUGGUUGGUACUUCCCUUGGGAGCUGCUGUUGUGUAGAGCCUUGUAUUAGGCGCUGAUUUCACUGUGUGUGCGUCUGGCUCCCGAUGGGCUGAGUGACUCACUGUCUGGAAGUGGCAUGCAGCCCACUACAGGAGCUAUGGAGAGUUGGGGCAGAUGGGAAGACCCCCACCAAGACCUACUUUCUGGAGUAGGUCUACCUUCUGAAAACUGUCAGGACUUAUUUUUUUCUGUUUUUUAAAAGACUGACUAAUAGGAUCGGCCCUCAUGUGGCAGCUGCA